CUUAAUUAUAGGCAUUAUGUGCGCCCUCAAUUAUGCUCUAGCCAUAGCAUCUUUAACUCUUCACACUCAACAAGUCCUCUUGAUACCAAAGGAACGCUGCCUUUUUUGGACAAAACAUCAGCUGUACGGUCAUCACGGAAAAAUGCUUGUAUUAUUACAAACAAAUAUUCUCAAUUACAGUCUGAGUGGCGUUUUCCUCAAAUGAAUGCUAGUGCUGUCUGCUUUUCAGACUGGCUGAGUAACAGAAGUAUUUUGCUCCCUUCCCAGAUUGUACCUACUUCUUCCCUCGAGGUCUGACGCUGUGGGGCAGCUCUCCUGGUUUCGGCCUAGUGGUGCCAGCUGAUAUCAGCUGAGCAUCCAACCCCAAAGGAGCUCUUUUGGAACUGUUUUGCUCUGUGUUUCCUUACCCAGCAGCUACCACGAAGGUGGGGGACUGCUCUGAUGACACCCACUGGCUGCCAACUGUGGUUCUCCCAGACACACGCGAUGCUGUAAGAAAGCUGCACUACAUUGGUAGAGCACUGGACCUGGACAAGCUCAAAAAGCAGCCCCACGAGAACCUAUUGAGAUUCAACAAGGCCAAGUGCAAGAUGUUCAACUUGGGUGACAGCAGUCCCAGAUAUGAGUACAGACUGGGACAAGAGCUCAUUGGGAACAGUCCUGCACAGAAAGACUGGGAGGUCCUGAUGGACAAAAAGCUGGACACAAGUCAGCAGUGUGCUCUUGCCACCCAGAAGGCCAACAGUAUCUUGGGCUGCAUCAAAAGAGGGGUGGCCAGCCGGGCAAGGGAGGUGAUCGUCUCCCAUCUACUUUGCCCUUCUAGAGCUCCAUCUGGAGUACUGUGUCCAGAUCUGGAAGUACAGGAAGGAUAUGGAGCUGUUGGAGCUGGUCCAGAGGAGGGCCAGGAAGAUGAUCAGGGGUCAGAAGCAUCUCUCCUGUGAAAAAAGGUUGAGGGAGUUGGGCUUGUUUAGCUUGGAGAAGAGAAGGCUCUGAGGAGAACUCAUUGAAGCAUCCCAGUACUUGAAGGGAGCUUGUAAGCAGGAUGGGGACUGACUUUUUACAUGGUUUGAUAGUGAUAGGACGAGAGAGAAUGGCUUUAAACUAAAAUAGCUGAAAUUUAGGUUGGAUGUUGGGAAGAAAUUCUUUACCCAGAGGAUGGUGAGGCACUGGCACAGGCUGCCAAGAGAAGCUGUGAGUGCCCCAUCCCUGGAGACAUUCAAAGUCAUGUUGGAUGGGGCCCUGGAUAGGCCCCCAGCCUUGAGCUGGUGGGUGGCAGCCUUGCCUGCAGCAGGGGUGCAGAAACUAGACAAUCUGUAAGGUCCCUUCCAACUUAAGCCAUUCUGUGAUUCUAUGAUUCCAUGACAGUAGUUUAUUUUCCAAACAGUCAUUCACAGGUUUAUCCACGUGGGAACAGAAGACUUCACCAAGAAAAUGCAGUGUCUCAGUGGGAGCAACAUGCCUCAUGAAUUAUUUGGGGUUGUAGUUUUAAAAACAUGUAUGUGAUGUAAAAGUCUCAACCCCAUUGCUUUAAGUGCUGAAGAGCAAGCUGCUCAGAGGCCUGAAUGAUGACUGUUGUGUACAUUGCCAUGCCUAUCUUCAGGCUCAGCACUCAAGCUGGUGUUUUCUGACUGGAUGCAAUGAGAGGGAAGCUAAGGCGUCCAGUUCACAGAAGGUAUCUAUCUCCAUACAAGUACCCUGUAACAAUAUAAUGGAAGAGGUUCCAAGAAGCACAUAUCAAAUAUUUAGGAAACAAUUUGCUGCUACUUUUGCUUCUGUUUCUGUUUUUAAUUGAACUGGUCCUGCGCACUAAACCCUUAAGAGGGUUUAAUCUCAAGAAGUUUAUAUAGUUUAUAUAGAAGUUUAUAUAUAGCACAGGAUGCUCUGCUCAGGAUGUGCCUCAUGCAUCACACACCUGUUUGCAAGCCAUGUUUGAGCACAUGCCAGUAUACACAGGGCAAUGGAUCCCACAGCCUCACCAGGCCCAGGCAGGGAUAAGGUGCAGCACAGAAGGCAACCCCAUGUUUUGCUCUCCCUGUUGGCCUCUGUCCUAGCUGCUGAAUUUUCUGUGGUUUUGAGCAACAGUGGAAGAUCUGGAUUGAAGACCAGUAAUGAGGAGUAUUGUUCUCUCAAGCUGCUGCAGAACUAUCCUGUGAAGAAUUACGGCACACUGUGGGAUGGUGCAUGGAUCUAUUUUCAGAUAGUCGUUAUGGGGAUCUAAUUCCUUCCAGACAAAAAAGUCCCCAUCUCAGUGGCUACUUGCAGUGAGCUGUAAGUCGUACUGUGAAAAGCCCAGCACUAUGAAGCAAGACACCAGCUACUUACUCACUUCCCAUCACUGAAGUUGUACUGCCCUAUACACUGAGCUCACACUUGCCUUGUCACUGCAGACUCUGUUGACUCACUAAGGAGCAGAUCAUGAAAUCCCAAAGGAACAUCUAGGAGGAUGUCUCCUUGCUGUCCGACAGCCACGGUACCUCAUAAAGAUGAGAAGAAACUCUGUAGUGUGCCUCCCUUUGUCCCUUAUUUCUCUUUUGCAGAGUAUUCCAUGAUGACCCUAGCAGAGACCCUUUUAUGCUUUUGAGUAAAAUUCCCACUGUUCAGCCGGCUUUUAAACGUUUAUUUCAAGGAUAAUUUUAAGUGUAGGUUUUCAUUAUUAGAGACAGAAACUAGGCAUGCGAAUCCAUUCAUUACUGUGCUCUGACUUUUCCAAAGUAUCUCCCAAUCUACAUUAAUCAGAAGUAAUGAGAGGAGACAAGGGUUAGAAAAAUGUGUUUCCAUGAAGAGUUUCUUCAUGAUUUUUCUGCUGUAAAUUCCAUAUGUAAUGUAAACUCAUGCAAAAUGCCUCCAACGGAAUGCCAAAAUGACAUUUUUGGAUGAUCCCUGACUCCGUAAUGCUCCAAGGCACUCAGUGCCCCAGAGCAAAAACAAGGACAGAGGUGCCGAGGGCAAAGGCUGGGAUGUGGACAUCUUAGAAGGCUCCAG
Molecule: long non-coding RNA, 2982 nt
Organism: Gallus gallus (chicken)
Lineage: Eukaryota; Metazoa; Chordata; Aves; Galliformes; Phasianidae
Source: Ensembl